This 351-nucleotide ribosomal RNA is filed under the name uncultured Desulfobulbus sp. RNAcentral describes it as "bacterial SSU rRNA". It matches the Rfam family "Bacterial small subunit ribosomal RNA", at positions 1032 to 1382 of the family's 1533-position model. Lineage: Bacteria; Pseudomonadati; Thermodesulfobacteriota; Desulfobulbia; Desulfobulbales; Desulfobulbaceae. The record is from RNAcentral.
ACACAGGUGCUGCAUGGCUGUCGUCAGCUCGUGUCGUGAGAUGUUGGGUUAAGUCCCGUAACGAGCGCAACCCUUGCCUUUAGUUGCCAGCAGUUCGGCUGGGCACUCUAAAGGGACUGCCGGGUGUUAAACCGGAGGAAGGUGGGGAUGACGUCAAGUCCUCAUGGCCUUUAUGACCAGGGCUACACACGUACUACAAUGGCCGAUACAAAGGGCAGCGACACUGCGAGGUGAAGCCAAUCCCGUAAAAUCGGUCUCAGUCCGGAUUGGAGUCUGCAACUCGACUCCAUGAAGUUGGAAUCGCUAGUAAUCGUGGAUCAGCAUGCCACGGUGAAUACGUUCCCGGGCCUU